AUUUAGAUUGCUCUCUCCCUCCUCACCAAUCUCUCUCUCUCUCCAAUUCAGAUUGCUCUCUUCUCUCCUCACAAAUCUCUCUAUCCUGUUUAGAAAUUGAUAAGGAUGACGAUACAUGGCAGGUACGUUAAUUAUCGAAUCUCUCUUCCUCGCUUCCCUCUCUCGAUCUCCGCAAGGAGGUUAAUUAUAUAAUCGUUUCCGAUUAAUAUUUUUGAUGGAUCCCGGCGAAGAUCUAGAAAUUCUAAUUAGAUGUUGUAUCAUGUUAAUGAUUACUAAAUUCAAUAUGAUGAUGAUGAGAGCACUUGUUCUGCGAGAACUAGAUGUAAUUCAUGCCUCCUCAAAGAUCAUUAUGGUAAAACCUAUUUUAAGCCUUCUUAAUUGUGCCUGAUGUCAAGUUUCUGCUAGUUUUGGGUUGAUGCUUUUCUAUCGGUAUUGUUUUGGUCUUGUUGUCAAUGAAGAUUCCAGAUCUCUCUGAGUUAUUUUGUUGAUGAGGCACUACUGAUGAGGACUUGUGCGGUAAUGUUUUGAUGAUUUAGAUCACUGUCUGUUUUAGAUCAUUACCUGUGUAUCUGGUAUUGGUUUUGUUGAUGAAGAUUCUAGGUUUCUAUCUAAUGAUCUUGUCCGGAAAGUGACUUACAUAUGAAGAGGCGGAAGUGACUUAUGCGGUAACAUCAUAACCUGUGACCUGUGUAUCUGCUAGUUUUUGGUUGAUGCUUUACUAUGGGUAUUGGUUUUGUUGAUGAAGAUUCAGGUGUUUCUUCCAUGUUAAAAUUACGAGCUUGUGUAUCUGCUAGUUUUUGGUUGAUGCUUCACUCUGGGUAUUUUUCUUCUUGAUGGAGAUUCUAGGUUUCUCUUCCAUGUUAAAAUUAUGAGAAGUGAAUAAUGAGGAGGAUUUGAGCGUAACUGCUCAUUUUGUUUUGAGUAGUUAUUUGUUGAUAUUGUUGUAGCAAUGGUGUGUUGUGUGUUGGCUGGUUUAUUCACGAAAGUUUUAGAACAGAUCAUUCUAAGAGAAAGAGAUGAGACAAGUGGAUGAGCACAGUGGUACCAUGCCUAUUCUCAAUGCAAUAUUAUAAAUUAAAGCUGGUUAGACUUUGUAGGUCGAGUAGUGAUGGACGUUUAUGGGGGUUAUGUCGGGCUAUUAACAUUUAUUCUUCUGUGUUGUUCAAUGUUCCAGUUCUGUGAAGGUUUUGGGAAGUGAUAAGCUAUAAAGGAUUUCGAUAGUUAGGUAUGUACAUGCGAUGGGCAGACUAUUGAGGACUGUCUUUGGUUUGAUCUCAUUCUUCAUUGUUUGGAGGAAAUGUAUAAACAUUGACUAGAAGCUGUAUUAUUUUACAUGUGUAGCAUUGUUGUACAUGAUAAUGUGUGUUUUAUGCAAGAUGUUCUACAUUAUUGAAGUGUUAAUAAAUUUGAAGACAAAAGUUGUGACUCUUUCAACAUGUGAUCCGAUUCUUAACUAUCGUUGUUGUUUGAACCUUUCUUACGAUAUUGUUUAUCUGACGCCCCUUCUAUUGAUAGAGUAAUGUUUUGUGUCUCUUAUACCUUGUUUGUUGUACAGAAAUAUAACUUUGUUUCAGAGUUAUGGACCACACGAGAUUCAACAAAAGAUAACUGUUUCAUCACCCAGCUAUUUUUCUCUUAUAUUCUUGCAGUGCCCCUAUACUUACUAUUUUUUCCCCCCUUCCGUAUACAGUUCAUUUAUGUUUACAUGGCCUGUCAUUUCUCUAACGAAGAUUUGAAUAUGCUUUUGUCGCUAAUGAUUUCAGAAUUACCGGAGCUUGAAACCAUUGAGGCUGCUAAAGUUCAACUAACUUUAUG
Molecule: long non-coding RNA, 1815 nt
Filed under: Daucus carota (carrot)
Lineage: Eukaryota; Viridiplantae; Streptophyta; Magnoliopsida; Apiales; Apiaceae
Description: long non-coding RNA (DCAR_LNC003712)
Source: RNAcentral